Molecule: long non-coding RNA, 1351 nt
Organism: Podarcis raffonei (Aeolian wall lizard)
Lineage: Eukaryota; Metazoa; Chordata; Lepidosauria; Squamata; Lacertidae
Exons: 3
Source: RefSeq, a predicted model, not a curated record
UGAAUACUCUCUACUACAACCAAGGACUGCUCAUUGGUGGUGCUCACUUCUCCAGCAACUACCAAUAUCAAAUUUUCUCGCAAAUAAAUACAGUUGAAGGGGACAGCAGAAGGAGAUUAACUGAGAAUGAAAGGGAAGAAAAAAGAAGGCCUAUAAAUCCAUGGAUGACAGACAGAUAGAAAAUAUCACCCUCCUGCUGACAAGUGUUCAUCACUCUCUGGCUGCAAUUAAUGUGCUUGCCGGAGGCCAACAAUAUGUUGCAUACAAGAACUACACCACAGAAGAAUCUUGAGCGUGUCAGAAGAAGCAGGUCUAAACAUCAGAUAUCAAUACUGAUCACCCCAAACAAACACGUACAAGCCACAAACAGGCAUAGAUCUGUAGUCUAUGUAUAGUGCACUGAGCUCAGGCACAUGUUUUAUCAACUUAAUGGGGCCAGCACCUUGGUUUAGAAGACAGAGCACAUAACACCUGGAUGAGCCAAACGGGCAUGCACUGGGAUGAUCUAAUGCCAUGGUUCACAGCAUGGGUGACAGCACUGGAGCUGCCUGAUGCCCUCAUUAUUCAGCUUAUUGAAAAUGAUCUGGUAAAGAAGAAAUACAUAGACCUCAUCUGGGCAACAGCUGCAGAUCUCAAGGCCUUCAUAUGGCACACCCAAGCUUGUCUAUUUUGGAGUCCAGGUACUUGGAGUGGUGGCAGUGGCACGGAGCAUCAGAACUGUUGCUAUCAAUCUUGCCUGGAAGAAGGUGAACAUCGCAAUGUCCUGCUUGGUAUCCUGGUUAGAUGAGUGCAUUGUUUGGCAUCCUGCUAUCACUUAUGACAAAAUGGACUUGUAUUGAUGAAAUGGCUUGUACCUAUCACCAACAAGCAAUGAGGCCAGGCUGAUGAACAUCUACUGGAGCCUCUGGGACUGGUUGCAGAUGUGAGCGGUUGGGCAGCAAGCUGGCAUGGAGGGGCCAACUCAUGUGGCAGAAAAAGGCACUUGGUUGGAUCCUUAGUCUAAAGGUAUGGGGUAGGUAGGUGCCCAACCCACCGAUCCAGGAUCAAAAUUCAGGGAACCUCAGUAACGGGGUCCAGUGGUUGGGUUCAGACUGAAAGCCCAGACAUGGGCCAACAGGCCACAGAACACCCCAGAUGUCAUAUUGGCAGGAUCAUCCUACAGAUUUACAUCAUAGAGGAUCCUUAACCACAGGAUCGACCCUGAUGGAGUUAUCAGCCAGCAGUUGGGUUGGCUGAUUCAGGAUACAUACCCAAUGCCUAUGCUGAAACCGACCUACAUCUGUAAUCAAUAAAGUUGUGGCCAUUUUGAUCCCAAGCUGGUGUCUCACCAUUUUUUGCUGCUUCUACACUU